GUGUCAGCCGCCGCGGUAAUACGUAGGGACCAAGCGUUGUCCGGAAUCAUUGGGCGUAAAGAGCGUGUAGGCGGCUUGUUAAGUCUUGCGUGAAAUCUCGGGGCUCAACCCCGAGCGGUCGUGAGAAACUGGCAGGCUAGAGUGCGGGAGAGGAGAGUGGAAUUCCUGGUGUAGCGGUGAAAUGCGCAGAUAUCAGGAAGAACACCCGUGGCGAAGGCGGCUCUCUGGAACGCAACUGACGCUGAGACGCGAAAGCGUGGGGAGCAAACAGGAUUAGAAACCCUCGUAGUCC
Molecule: ribosomal RNA, 292 nt
Filed under: uncultured bacterium
Lineage: Bacteria
Description: partial 16S ribosomal RNA
Rfam family: Bacterial small subunit ribosomal RNA
Source: RNAcentral